Molecule: ribosomal RNA, 400 nt
Filed under: uncultured bacterium
Lineage: Bacteria
Description: bacterial SSU rRNA
Rfam family: Bacterial small subunit ribosomal RNA
Source: RNAcentral
UGGGGAAUAUUGGGCAAUGGAGGGAACUCUGACCCAGCAACGCCGCGUGAAGGAUGAAGGUUUUCGGAUUGUAAACUUCUGUCGCGAGGGAUGAAGAAUGACGGUACCUCGUAAGAAAGCCCCGGCAAACUACGUGCCAGCAGCCGCGGUAAUACGUAGGGGGCGAGCGUUGUCCGGAAUGACUGGGCGUAAAGGGAGUGUAGGCGGCCUUUUAAGUUAUGUGUGAAAGCCCACGGCUCAACUGUGGAAUUGCACAUAAAACUGGGAGGCUGGAGUGCAGGAGAGGUAAGCGGAAUUUCCAGUGUAGCGGUGGAAUGCGUAGAUAUUGGGAAGAACACCGGAGGCGAAGGCGGCUUACUGGACUGUAACUGACGCUGAGGCUCGAAAGCGUGGGGAGCAA